Molecule: long non-coding RNA, 1058 nt
Filed under: Calidris pugnax (ruff)
Lineage: Eukaryota; Metazoa; Chordata; Aves; Charadriiformes; Scolopacidae
Description: lncRNA (ENSCPUG00000000742.1)
Source: RNAcentral
AUGGUGACAUCCCCCACAGGAUGGUGCCAUCCCCAUGGAGAUGGUGCCAUCCCCCUCAGGAUGGUGCCAUCCCCCUCUGGUGACCAUGACAUCCUCCCCAGUGAUGGUGCCAUCCCCCCAGUGAUAGUGCCAUCCCCCUGGGACAAUGACAUCCACCUCUGGAGACCAUGCCACCCCCCGUGGGACAAUGUCAUCCUCAUCCCAGCAAUGGUGCCAUCCCCCUGGGGACAGUGCCAUCCCACCCAGAAUGGUGCCAUCCCCCUGGAGAAGGUGCCAUCCCUCCCUGGGGACGGUGCCAUCCCCCCAGUGAUGGUGACAUCCCCCCUAGGAUGGUGCCAUCCCCCUGGGAUGAUGACAUCCGCCUCUGGAGACCAUGCCACCCCCCCUGGGGACAGUGACAUCCCCCCAGUGAUGGUGACAUCUCACCCAAGAUGGUGCCAUCCCCCUCAGGAUGGUGCCAUCCCCCUCUGGUGACCAUGACAUCCUCCCCAGUGAUGGUGCCACCCCCCCGGGGGUGGGUGACACCCCCCCAGGGAUGGUGACAUCUCACCCAAGAUGGUGCCAUCCCCUCUGGGGAUGGUGCCAUCCCCCUGGGACGAUGACAUCCCCCUCUCGAGACCGUGCCACCCCCCCUGGGGACAGUGACAUCCCCCCAGUGAUGGUGACAUCCCACCCAAGAUGGUGCCAUCCCCUCUGGGGAUGGUGCCAUCCCCCUGGGACGAUGACAUCCCCCUCUGGAGACCGUGCCACCCCCCCUGGGGACAGUGACAUCCCCCCAGUGAUGGUGCCAUCCCUCCAGUGAUGGUGACACCCUUCUGGGGAUGGUGCCACCCCCUCUGGGGAUGGGGACAUACCCCCAGUGAUGGUGACAUCCCACCCAAGAUGGUGCCAUCCCCUCUGGGGAUGGUGCCAUCCCCCUGGGACGAUGACAUCCCCCUCUCGAGACCGUGCCACCCCCCCUGGGGACGGUGCCAUCCCCCCAGUGAUGGGGACAUCCCCCCAAGGAUGGUGCCAUCCCCCUGCAGAUGGUGCCACCCCCUCUGGGGACCGUGCCAUCC